Molecule: transfer RNA, 72 nt
Filed under: Enterococcus faecium
Lineage: Bacteria; Bacillati; Bacillota; Bacilli; Lactobacillales; Enterococcaceae
Description: tRNA-Ile
Rfam family: tRNA
About the family: Transfer RNA (tRNA) molecules are approximately 80 nucleotides in length. Their secondary structure includes four short double-helical elements and three loops (D, anti-codon, and T loops). Further hydrogen bonds mediate the characteristic L-shaped molecular structure. tRNAs have two regions of fundamental functional importance: the anti-codon, which is responsible for specific mRNA codon recognition, and the 3' end, to which the tRNAs corresponding amino acid is attached (by aminoacyl-tRNA synthetases). tRNAs cope with the degeneracy of the genetic code in two manners: having more than one tRNA (with a specific anti-codon) for a particular amino acid; and 'wobble' base-pairing, i.e. permitting non-standard base-pairing at the 3rd anti-codon position.
Source: RNAcentral
ACCUUUAGCUCAGUUGGUUAGAGCAGACGGCUCAUAACCGUCCGGUCGUAGGUUCGAGUCCUACAAGGUCCA